Molecule: ribosomal RNA, 586 nt
Filed under: Trichoderma asperellum
Lineage: Eukaryota; Fungi; Ascomycota; Sordariomycetes; Hypocreales; Hypocreaceae
Description: eukaryotic LSU rRNA
Rfam family: 5.8S ribosomal RNA (bases 214-367)
Source: RNAcentral
CCGUUGGGUGAACCAGCGGAGGGAUCAUUACCGAGUUUACAACUCCCAAACCCAAUGUGCUCGUUACCAAACUGUUGCCUCGGCGGGGUCACGCCCCGGGUGCGUAAAAGCCCCGGAACCAGGCGCCCGCCGGAGGAACCAACCAAACUCUUUCUGUAGUCCCCUCGCGGACGUAUUUCUUACAGCUCUGAGCAAAAAUUCAAAAUGAAUCAAAACUUUCAACAACGGAUCUCUUGGUUCUGGCAUCGAUGAAGAACGCAGCGAAAUGCGAUAAGUAAUGUGAAUUGCAGAAUUCAGUGAAUCAUCGAAUCUUUGAACGCACAUUGCGCCCGCCAGUAUUCUGGCGGGCAUGCCUGUCCGAGCGUCAUUUCAACCCUCGAACCCCUCCGGGGGAUCGGCGUUGGGGAUCGGGACCCCUCACCGGGUGCCGGCCCUGAAAUACAGUGGCGGUCUCGCCGCAGCCUCUCCUGCGCAGUAGUUUGCACAACUCGCACCGGGAGCGCGGCGCGUCCACGUCCGUAAAACACCCAACUUCUGAAAUGUUGACCUCGGAUCAGGUAGGAAUACCCGCUGAACUUAAGCAUAU